This 13883-nucleotide long non-coding RNA is filed under the name Vitis vinifera (wine grape). RNAcentral describes it as "long non-coding RNA (VVIN_LNC007727)". Lineage: Eukaryota; Viridiplantae; Streptophyta; Magnoliopsida; Vitales; Vitaceae. The record is from RNAcentral.
CAUCAGCCUUAAGAUCUGCAAUCAUGACCACCGGUCAGUACCAUAUAUUAAAUUUUCAUCGGACAUAUAUUGUAUAGUUAUGCUGUUUUGAGAAUAUUAUUAAGAUGAACAACUGAUGCUUAACGUUGACCACAAUAUGGAUCCCAGCGAGAACUAGAACUAACGUGAGACAACCUUUGGUGAAUGAGACACUUGGAGAGGCAAACCCCUUCAGCUAUGGUGCAGGGCAUCUCUGGCCUAGCCGUGCAAUGGACCCAGGUUUGGUCUAUGACUUAACCACCACUGACUACUUGAACUUUCUGUGCUCUAUUGGCUACAAUGCAACCCAACUUUCAACAUUUGUGGACAAGGGAUAUGAAUGCCCAUCAAAGCCCAUGAGCCUUUUGAAUUUAAACUACCCCUCAAUUACCGUCCCCAGUCUCUCAGGCAAGGUAACAGUGACUCGGACCCUGAAGAAUGUUGGAACCCCAGCUACAUACACAGUUCGAACUGAGGUGCCUAGUGGAAUAUCGGUGAAGGUGGAGCCCAAUACGCUUAAAUUUGAAAAGAUUAAUGAAGAGAAAACAUUCAAGGUGAUAUUGGAAGCAAAGAGAGAUGGUAAGGGAGGUGAGUAUGUUUUUGGAAGGCUCAUAUGGUCAGAUGGAGAACACUACGUCAGAAGCCCUAUAGUGGUCAAUGCAACCACUCUUUAGAUAUAACCAUGAUUUUUAUUAUUAUUAUUAUUUUUGUAAUGUCAAGCUAAUUACCUAAAAUAAAUCUAUAUUUACCAUGUGGACUCACCAUUAAUAAAAAAGAGACCUUGAACUUCAUUUUGAUCUAAUAUCAUCCAUUUAAAUAUUACGAGGUUCUAAACUUCCAUCCAUAGUAGAAUUGUAAUAUAGAUGAGGCCUAAAUUCUAUAUAUUAAAAAGGUUGAAGCAAAUUUUAAGUCUUGAUAUAUGAACUACAUGAAGGGUGAUGAUUAGGUAGUCUAUGAAUUAAUCUUAAAUUCAAAUUUUAUUAUUAAUUUUUUAUUAAAUAAUUAAUGAAAGUACAUUAAUUUAACGUAUAUGUAAUUAAUAUCAAUCUCACACGGUGAUAGGAAAUAUAAUAUGGAAAAACUAUCUACCACCACGAGAUGGUGUCUCAAUUGCAAGUAAUUUAUUAAACAUGAGAAGAUGGUACAUAGAUUUAUCUUAUCAGGGAUAUCUACUCUUAUAAGAAAAUGUUUUUUAGUGGAUUGCUCAAAAGUUUUUAUCAAAAUUGAAACGUUUCAAGUCCAAAGCUUUUUGAUAUUUGAAUAGUAACUUAAAAAUGAAAAUAGAAAUUUUGAGAGAUGGAGGUUCAAACUUUGGAUGAUAUAACUAUUGUUCUCUUAAUGUCUUUAUUUUCCCAUAUAAUAAGACUUUUUAUAUUUGAAAAACUCCAAGCCUUUAAAAUUACAUAUCUAGUAACAAUAAUCAUCAAUAAGCUAGCACAUAAGGGGAAUGGAUAGGUGCUCAGGCCAAGCUAUGCAACAACCCAAGACUCCAGAACUACGAGUGUAGUAUCAAUGCAUUGAACAUGAGCCUCUAUUGCUACAAUCCAUGAAACAAUGUCCUCAAUGGAAGCAACAAUCCUUUGCAACAAGUGCUUCAGGCAACCAAAGAUGAGGAGCAUAUAGUUACACCCGCUAGAGUUCCCUGCACCUCGAAUAGCAACCCGAUGACAUAGAGAAGGUCCUUGAACAUCAUUGCCUACUCCGCAGCUCGAAUCUCCCACUCCUAAUCAUCCUUAAUUUUUGAAAACCUUGAUCAAUUUUUAAUUUGUAUUACCUAGAAGUUUAAAAAGGAUAUAAUCAUCAAGCUAAAUACAUCUUUACCUUUACAACAAAUUAAUGAAAGUGAAUUUAACAAUGUGGAGUAAUCAAGAAUGGGCAAUAUCAUUUAAUAGUUGAAAUUCAAAUUUUGUAAUUCAUAAAAAUUGACGGAUCAAAGACUAGACCCAUGCGAGACAUUGACAUAACAACUAGUGGGGCUAAUAAAAUUUUUGGAAGAACUCAUUGGCUCGAUUCAAUUUAUUAAUAUUCCGUUUUUCUAUCAAUAUUUAAGCUAGAUGGAAACUAGAUUGUUUUGAACUUUCAAUAAUUGAUGACUUUGGAGGUGUAUACAGUGAACUUGUCUAUUUAAAAGGGAGUGUAGACAAAAAUGUCUACCUCAUAAACCAUGAGUUUUUGACUAGUAAGAGCAUUCAUUCAAUAUUCCAACAUGGUGGCUAGUCAGAUAUAUGUGAUUGAUUGAAACAAUUUGGAGAAAUUUUUUGGGUUAAAGGAAAGCUUAAAAAAUCUAGGGUUAUUUGAUUAAAAGGGUUUUUGAAAACCCAAUUUUUUAAAUUUAACCUCUAUCCAUUUUUUGGUCAUAUUUGGACAAAAAUGUUUUCAUUAUUUUCUUAUAAAAAUAACAAUCUCUUUUAAAACCUAUAUGUAAAUAUUUGAAAUGGUAAAAGACAUUUAUGUCAAAGGUGAAUUACUUUUCAAGAAAAAAAAUACGAGAAUGGUUAGAUUCAUAAUAUGAGGAUUAUUUCACUGUUUUUAACCAAAUAUUUCAAAAAUGUAUAAUUUGAUAUAUCGUUUUCUUUCUUGUAAUGAUCUUUGAUUUUCCAUGAAUUGACAUUAUAAGAGUCUUCUGGCCCCAUUGUCAUCCCAGAAGUUAUUUCAAUUCCCACUUGUUUUGAAUAUUCCUGUUUUCUAGAUUUUCUUAGUCUUCCAUGCUUUAUAAAUCAACUCUAGGCAAAAUUUUCCUCUUCUAUGACCAAAUUUUCCUCUACUAUUGCCUUUUAUUUCAUCUUCAAUCAUGUGCACCUGCACAUGGUAAAGCCAUAUUGAUAGCAUAAAUUGGAGCCGGUUUUUCUAGCUAUCAGUUCUAGAACAGUAGAAAAAUGUAUGAACUGAAAUCUGACUUAUUUAUAUCAGUAAUGACAUUUUUUUUAAGGUGGAUGGAGUGAAGAAAAUGAUGAACAUACCUCCCCAAGAAUGCUUGUCAACUACAUAUAUGAAUGUAAUACCUUUUCCUUACUAGCUUAAUCAUCCAUUCUCUUUGAUUUCACAACUCUCAAUUUUAAGUCAAGCAUACUGGUGAAGGUCUGUGUCAAAAAUCCCCCUUGUCAUUGAUUACACUGCAGAUAGGGAUAUGAAUAUAAAUAUAUUUACUUGAUCAAUGAAGAUUAAUUAAGACUUUCAUAUUUUCCAGCAGAGUUAGGCUAAGCUUAGAAGAAAACAAAGGGUACUUGGUUCAGUAGCGGAAGCUUCCUAUUGACAAUCAUCACCUAUCAAUUAUAUAUUUGAUGAAAAUAUAUAAAUAUAUUAAAUAAAUUAUCCAUGCAAUUUGAGGUAGGAAAUCCUUUAAAAGGGAUAGUAGAGACCCUCUUACUUGAAGAACAUAAAGCAGAGGUUCUAACCACAGAGAUCUAGGGGAAUCAAAUGGGGAUUAUGAGUCCUCCUCUUUUCCUUCUCUCUUUCAUUCUCUUCACUGUGAUGAAGUGUCCAACACUGGCUCUCAAACGGGCAAGCAUUAUUCUCUAUCUCUCUCAAUUCUCUAAGUGGCUAACUACCCAUGUUAACCUGUUUUAUAGAACCUCAUGUCAUGUGGUGUAAUAUGAUUUUGUUGUACCCUUUUUCUACAGUCAUAUGUGGUGUACCUAGGUAGUCAUUCACAUGGAGCUGAACCUACUUCUGUAUUGGGGAAGAUAUAAUUAUUGGAAACCUAGACACUGGUAAUCUUGAUUGCUAACCAGCUUUGAGAUUUGGUGAAGUUUAAAAUGCUAAUACUCUUUCAAUGAGUUAUCUAUAUUCGGUAGCAUUAAUCUUUUGAAAUAAUAUCUUGGCUUGCCUAUCAGAAAAAGCUUGAGGAAUCAACAAGCAAGCUAGUGUUACUGCAUUCGUACAAUGCAUAGAUAAGACACUCCUCAACUACACUAGCACCAAAUCAUAUUAGCUGCAAUCCUAGUUUUUAUGAUUUUUGACUUAGUAAACUAGAUUUUUAAUGAUUUCUUGGACUUUACAUAGGUGCCGGAUUAAUUGGGUGCUAAUUGACUUGAAUAAUCAAAGUAGACCAAAUGAAUAAUUAGUUUGCAUCUACGAAGUCAAGGAGGAGUGUUGAAUUUUGACUUAGUAUUUGCUGGAAUUUGAAUUUUGAAUAUUGCAGCUGGAGUCUUGCGCAAAAUCUGCAACAUCUAGAUAUUUUCUUAUUUUUAUUUGGUCAAGAUUUGGUUUCUAUUUUAUAGGAAGUAGUUGUUCAUCAUCUAGUAGCUUGAUUUUCUGCUAUUCUAAUGUCAUUUAAGUUACAAGCUCAUGUAUAAAUUCAGCACUCUUCAUCAAUAAUCAUAGUUCCGGCAGCCCAAAAAUAUAUAUUCUGUAUAAGUAUUUAAUCUUAUACCAACAAAGUGGUAUCAGAGCCAUAGUUAUCUUGAGGGGCCAGUGAGGUGAGUGAACCCAAACACCUUCUAAAAUCAUUUAGCAAUGGAAGAGUCAAGUCUCACAGUUGCACCAUCAAUUCUUGAUGGAGACAAUUAUGAAACUUGGGCUGUUAGAAUGACAGUUCAUCUACAAGCACUUGAUGUUUGGGAAGCAGUGGACACUNNNNNNNNNNNNNNNNNNNNNNNNNNNNNNNNNNNNNNNNNNNNNNNNNNNNNNNNNNNNNNNNNNNNNNNNNNNNNNNNNNNNNNNNNNNNNNNNNNNNAGAGUUAAGGAUCCUUCCCCAAUGACUGGGGUUGUGUUACCAUUGGCUGUGGAAACAAUUUUUUGUGAGGAAGGUCUAAGGGGUGAAACCUGUCUAGAAUCAAAAGUCAUAUGAUCUGUAGUACCAGAAUCAAUUAUCCAUGCACUAUUAAUAACAGGUGUAAAAGUAUUUAAAAACUUACCACCAUGAUCUGUAGCAGCUACCAAUGCAGAGGCUUUCUCAGCAACAUUAGCCUCUAUUUUAUUUCGGCAACAGUUGCAAUCGAGCUUUUCUUGGAAUCCUUCUUCCGUUGAUCACGAUUAUUAUCAUUAAUAACAAAGUGUUGAUAGCCUAAACAUGAUCUAAAGGUCCAUGGUUCAAACCCUCGGUUCCUCAUUGUUUUCCUGGUCAUACCAAGAGUCGUUGCUUUGAAAUUGUGGGAUAUCCAGAUUGGUGGGAUCAAUCUUAUUGCAGUGAGUGCAUUUGAAGGUUGACUUAUCAAUAUUAGGGCUUGUCUUAGGAUGGAUGAUCGCUGUCGGACUACCAUAGCGACAAAAUAUCCAGGAUUUCAGUUCCAUGGCUCUGAUACCAUCUUCAAAUUGAUAAAUGGUAGUUUUUUCCAUUCAUUACUUUCAUUCGUUCAUGUACAGAUAAUAUAUAGAGGGUAAUUACCAUUCUAAGAAUAAGAAGGAAUGAUACAAGGAAAGAAUGAUAUAAGGAAAUAACAACUAAUAUCCUAAUAUCUUAACUUUCCUAAUAUCUCAAUAUUCCUAAUAUCUCAAUAUUCUUAAUAUCUUAACUUUCCUAAUAUUUAAACAUUCCUAAUAUUUCAACACUAAAUAAUAUAAGGAAAGAAUGAUAUACGGAAAGCAUUCCUAAUAUCUCAACAUAUUUUGUAGAUGCUAGAGCUGCUAAUGCUUCUGAAAACGAUGAUUAAGUAAACUGAUACUCCAUCCAAAUUCCAUCUCCAGUUUGUUAAUUGGCAUCACCAACUGUAUAGCCAUGACUGGUAACAUGUGCUUUCUCUGGAUGUUGUAGAGACAACUUUGUUCUGUUGGAUCGCUGGACCCAAAGAAGGUGAAAGGGAAUAUUGUAUACUGUCUGGUUGCAGUAUACAAUAUUUUUCCUGUAAUCAUCCUUGUCGCUAGUAGAUAUUUUUCCAAUGCGUGUGCUUUGACCCGGAGGUCCCAUCAAUAAUGGGAAAGCGCUCAACAUGUGGAGAACCGUGCUCCAAGUCAAAGCCAACCCGUAAUAGAAUAAAUAAAGAAGUAAGGUAGAAGUAGUUGCCAGGUAUGGUUCGUCCUUUUAGGAUGAAGCCUACAGGGCUCACUGUAAAAAUUUUCAGGGUUUAUGUUACUAGGACAACUGCACAUUCAAGCCUGGCCCGCUGCUGAACCUAGUAACUCAUGGUACAAUGCUGGCAGCCUUUGGCUCAAGGCAGCAACACAGUUGGCUGGUUCUGAUGAUUCUUGGACCAACUACAAUGAACCUGCAGGAUGAAGAGACACUAGGGCCUCAUCAGCAAGCACAGGAACGUAUAACGAAAGCAACAGUGCUACGCCAUUGACAAUUCAAGUCUUCAUACGGCACCAGCUUUGCAUUACCUAGAGGCUUAAAAAUGAUAUCGCCAUCAAGUUAAACACUGCCUUAAACACAGCGAAUGAAUUAAAGCGAGUUUCACAAUGUGGAGAUAUCAAGAAUUGAUGAUAUCAUUUGAUAGUUGAGUCAAAUUUUUUAACAUGAUAAUUUUCUCUAGUAGGACCUUCCCUCCUAGGGACUUUCCGGUAACCUUCACUUGGAGAGCCUUCUGGCCCCAUUGUAAUCCCAGAAGCUAUUUCAGAGCACACCGGUUUUGAAUUAUCCUCUUUUCUACACUUUCUUAGUCUUCCAUGCUUUAUAAAUCAACGCCAGGCAACAUUAUCCUUUACCAUGACUAAGCAUGUAAAAGAUGGUCAAAUUGUUGGUAUGAAAAGACCAUGUUGAGUAUUUCCUUUCAUUUCAUUUUCGAUCAGAUGCACCUGCAACAAAGUGGUAAAGCCAUAUUGAUAAAUUUUUUUCAUGUAGUGGAGCCGGUUUUUCUAGGUAUCGGUUUUAGAACAGUAGAAACUUAUGAACUGUGAUCUCCAACUUAUUUAUAAAUAGGUGAUGACCAUGCUGCCUCAAGAAUGCAUAUCGAUUACAUAUAUCGAUAUUAUACCUUUUCAAUAUGAGCUUAAUCAUCCAUUUAAUUUCUCUCAUUUCACAAUUCUUAUCUGAUUUUAGUUUAAUUAUACAUGCUGGGGAGGGUCUAUGUCAAGACCCCCAUGUGAUAGGGUAAGGAUAUAAGAUUAUUUAAGAUUUUCUUAUUAUCUUGUGACUUAGGAUAAGCUUGAAAGAAAAGAAAAGGUACUUAGCAAAAGUUUCUAGAGGUGUACAAAAGCUUCCUAUUGACUAUUAUUACCUAUCCAUUAUACAUUUUGAUAAAAAUAGAUUAAUAUUGAAUUAUGCAUACAAUUUGAGGUAGCAAAUACUUUAAAAGGGAUAGCAGAGAUCCCCCCUUAAAUCUUAAUUGAAGAACAUAUAGCAGAGGUUCUAAACCCAGAGAUCUAGGGGAAUCAAAUGGGGAUUAUGAAUCUUCCUCUUUUCCUUCUCUCUUUCAUUCUCUUCUAUGUGAUGCAGUGUCCGACACUGGCUCUCAAACGGGUAAGCAUUAUUCUCUAUCUCCCUCAAUUCUCUAAGUGGCUAACUACCUGUCUUAAUCUGUUGUUACUUGAUUUUUUUGUACCCGUAUUCUUCAGUCUUACGUGGUGUACCUAGGUGGCCAUUCACAUGGAUCUCAACGUACUUCUGAAAUGGAUCUCAACAGAAUUACUGAUUCCCAUCAUGAUCUUUUGGGUUCUUGCCUGGGCAGGUGAUAAACAUUGAUAUUACUAAUCAAUCCCACACUACUGGCUACUAUAUUAUUUGCUUUAGAUCCAUUCUAUUUUUGUUGCUGCAGCAAGGAGAAAGCACAAGAAUCAAUUUUUUACUCCUACACACAUCACAUAAAUGGUUUUGCUGCUAACCUGGAAGACGAAGAGGCAGCAGAGCUCUCAAGUACAGUACUCACACACAACAGCAGCUAUAGAUAUUUACAUUCUUUAUGCUUCGUUUCCUUCCCAUAGUUCAAUCUUUUUAAGCACCAUAAUGUUUCUAUAUUGUGUUUUGAAUGCAGAGCGGCCAGGAGUUGUAUCUAUUUUCUUAAACCAGAAACAUAAACUGCAAACGACUCGGUCUUGGGAGUUUCUUGGACUAGAGAGAAAUGGAGAGAUUCCUGCAGAUUCUAUCUGGGUUAAGGCGAGAUUUGGUGAAGAUAUAAUUAUUGGCAACAUAGAUACUGGUAAUCUUGAUUUUCUAACCAGCUUUGAGAUAUGGUAGAAUAUUAAAAGUUACUCUUUCAAUGAGGCAUCUCCAUUCAGUAGCAUUACUCUUUUGAAAUAUUUCUUGGCUUGCUUAUCAGAAACAGAUUGAGGAAUCAACAAACUAGUUAGUGUUAUUGCAUUCAUACAAUGUGAUCAAUAUGAAUUACUUCCCUGUAGCUUAUACUAAUGAAAUUUGUCUUUGAUAUAAAAUGAAAUUAAUUAAAUAGAAAAAGACUUAAAAUUUUAGCAAGGGGGUAUAUUUCAUUAUUUAUAGCUAGCGGCUUAAAUUGAUCAAUCCACCCUCAUUAAUCAACUUUGGUUUUUCUUUUUCCUUGGCCUAAUGGUUUUCUAAAUCCAUGGUGGUUGUGGUAGGUGUUUGGCCUGAAUCAGAAAGUUUCAAUGACCAAGGAAUGGGACCGAUUCCAUCAAAGUGGAAAGGUUACUGUGAGCCCAAUGAUGACGUUAAGUGCAACAGGUUUUUCCCUCUUCACCUGCUCUCAACCUCAACUCCACAAGAAGCGUUAUAUGCAAAAUUUUCUCAUGUAACUAAUCAAAAGGGAAAGCAGAAACUUUCUUGACAUGAAGAGUAACAUGAUAGAUUUUUCUUAUUUUUGGUUUGUGUGUGAAAUAUCAAAUAAAUGUUGUAAUGAUUAGGAAGCUGAUUGGAGCGAGGUACUUCAACAGAGGGGUUGAAGCAAAGUUGGGGAGUCCGCUCAAUUCUUCCUACCAAACUGUACGAGAUACAAAUGGGCAUGGCACGCAUACACUGUCCACAGCUGGUGGUAGAUUUGUUGGUGGAGCAAACCUCUUGGGUUCAGGCUACGGAACUGCAAAGGGCGGCUCUCCUAGUGCUCGAGUUGCUUCAUACAAGUCUUGCUGGCCAGAUUGCAAUGAUGCUGAUGUAUUGGCUGCCAUUGAUGCUGCCAUACAUGAUGGCGUUGACAUCCUCUCCCUUUCAAUUGCAUUCGUAUCUCGCGAUUAUUUCUUAGACAGCAUCGCAAUUGGAUCUCUUCAUGCUGUCCAGAAUGGAAUUGUUGUUGUCUGUGCUGGCGGGAAUUCUGGGCCCACGCCUGGGAGUGUUACAAAUUCGGCACCAUGGAUUAUAACUGUUGCAGCUAGUACAAUUGAUAGGGAAUUUCCCUCUAAUGUCAUGCUGGGUAAUAACAAGCAAUUCAAGGUUGGUCCAUUAAUUCUACCAAUUUAAGAAAACACAUUUCUUUUAGUUUUCAUGGUCUGUAUAUCCACAUUUAUAUUCUUCUUGAUUCAGCUUUUGUGAUUUGUUUUGAAUCAGGGCCUCAGCUUCAAAACCAAUAGUUUAACAGCCGAGAAGUUUUAUCCCCUGGUAUAUUCUGUAGAUGCUAGAGCUGCUAAUGCUUCUGCAAGAGACGCGUAAGUAAACUGACAACCUAUCAAAAUUUCAUCUUGAUCUUGUUACUUGGCAUCACCAACUCCUAGGUCUCAUUCUAGAGGCAUCCGGAUUCUUCUGGUUUGAUGCAGAUAGACUCAGUUUGGUAACCAACUAUAUCUUACCACCAUAAAGGGACUGGUAAUAACAGCCUUCUUGGCCCUUUUAACUGCACAAAAUACAAAACUAAGGAUUUUGAUAAUUGGGAGUCAUCAAAUAGCACCAAUCCAUACUUUGUAGAGCAGGUUUGACUAGCUGUUGCUGUAUUUGCUUUCUGUCUGUGUUGUAGACAACUUUGCUCAGUUGGAUCCCUGGACCCAAAGAAGGUGAAAGGAAAGAUUGUGUACUGUCUGGUUGAUCCGAGUGGUCUUAAUGCACUUAAUGUUGAGAAGAGCUGGGUGGUUGCUCAGGCUGGUGGCAUUGGGAUGAUUCUUGCUAACCAUCUUACUACCGCUACUUUGAUUCCUCAAGCCCACUUUGUUCCCACUUCACGAGUCUCUGCAGCUGAUGGUCUUGCCAUUUUGUUAUACAUUCACACUACGAAGUAAAGAACUUAUUUACUUCCUGACACCGUGUAAUAUCCAUUUUCUGAGAUGACCCAUCUUAGUGUUUGAGGAUUUUUUUUCUAUUUUUUUUUCUUUUUUUCUUCACUUUCAGAUACCCUGUAGCUUACAUCAGUGGUGCAACUGAAGUGGGUACAGUCACAGCACCAAUCAUGGCUUCCUUUUCGUCUCAGGGUCCUAAUACGAUCACUCCUGAAAUCCUCAAGGUGGUGUUUUCUUUCUUCUAUGUAAAUGAACUAAUUGUUCCGUGGAGCAUUUUUUUUUCCUUUCACUCCUAUUGGAAAACUAAGCUCCAGCAAGUAUCAACAGUAGGUGUUUGACAUGAAACCCAACUGUCCAUUGAGUGAAAAAAAGUACCUAGACUAAUUAAGGAUCAUACCACAAGUAUGCCACAAAAUCUGAGGCAAGGAGUGUCAGUUGCUAAAACCGUUUCCUUAAUUUUCUUAACAAUAAUGUAAGAUCCAACAUUAUUUGAUGUCCAUCUACAGCCUGACAUCACCGCACCCGGAGUGCAAAUUAUAGCUGCUUACACAGAAGCAAGGGGGCCUACAUUUCUCCAAUCAGAUCAUCGUCGUGUUCUCUUCAACAUCUUAUCUGGUACUUCAAUGUCAUGCCCUCAUGUUUCUGGAGCUGUAGGCCUUCUCAAAAAAAUUCACCCUAAUUGGAGCCCAUCAGCCAUAAGAUCUGCAAUCAUGACCUCCGGUCAGUCCCAUAUGUUAAAUUUUCAUCAGAUCCGCAUUCAGACAUUUGUUAUACAGUAAUGCUGUUUUAAGAUUAUUAUUAACAUGAACAACUGUUGCUUAACAUUGACUACCAUAUGGAUCCCAGCGAGAACCAGAAGUAAUUUGAGACAACCUAUAGCAAAUGGCACACUAGCAGGGGGAAACCCCUUCAACUAUGGUGCAGGGCAUCUCUCGCCUAACCGUGCAAUGGACCCAGGCUUGGUCUAUGACUUAACCAUCACUGACUACUUGAACUUUCUGUGCUCUAUUGGCUAUAAUGCAACACAACUUUCAACAUUUGUGGACAAGAAAUACGAAUGCCCAUCAAAGCCCACGAGACCUUGGGAUUUAAACUACCCCUCAAUAACUGUCCCGAGUCUCUCAGGCAAGGUAACGGUGACUCGGACCCUAAAGAAUGUUGGAACUCCAGCUACAUACACGGUUCGAAUUAAGGCGCCUAGUGGAAUAUCGGUGAAGGUGGAACCUAAGAGACUGAGAUUUGAAAAGAUAAAUGAAGAGAAAAUGUUCAAGGUGACAAUAGAGGCCAAGAGAGAUGAUGGGGGAGGUGAGUAUGUUUUCGGAAGGCUCAUAUGGUCAGAUGGAAAACACUUCGUCGGAAGCCCUAUAGUGGUCAAUGCAACCACUUUCCAUAUGUAACCAUGUUUUUAUUCAGCCGUAUGCAAUAUCUCAAGAGUAAUUACCAUAAAUAAAUUACUCACCAGUAAUAAAAAGAACAUACCUUCGAUUUUAUUGUGAUAAUAUCAUCCAUGGAAAACGAUGAGUUCAUAAAGGAUGAGCUAAUAUCAUCUUAUAGAUGAGAUCUAUAGUUUAGAUAUUAAAGUGGCCAAAAGAAACUUGGUCUUGAUAUAUGAAAUUACCUAGAUAUCGAUGAAUAGGUGGUCUUUCAAUUAAUUGUAAGUGCAAACUCUAUUAUCAAUUUUUAUUUGUUUUUUUGGAUUAAUUAAUUUGUGAAAACACAUCAAUCCCAUGCAUAUACAAGCAAUAUCAAUCUCACACAAUGACACAAGAUAUAAAGUGGAAAAACAACUUGGCAAUAUAUCAUGUGUAAAAACUAUAAGGCAAACUCUUGACCACAAAUAAUCUACUAAAUACCAAAAAAUGGUUUAUAAAUUUAUUUAAUAGACAACACCUGCUCCAUACGAGAAAAUACUAUCCCUUAAAACCUUUAUUAAGGUUGAAGCAAUUUGAGUCCACACUCUUUUGAUAGUUGAAUGGUCCCUUUCAAGAAAAACUUGAAAGUUUGAGAGAUAGAAGCUCAAGCUUUGGGGGGUAUGAUUAUUUCUCUCUUAGGGUUUUUGUUUUUCAACAUAAUAAACCCUUUUAUAUUUGAAAAACUCUAGACCUCAAAUAUGGAGAGUUUUCCCACUUUAAAACAUUUCAUAAAUGGAUUUUAAUUUUAAAGUAAAAAAUGGAAUGGGAAUCACUAAAAAUCAAUUAGAUGUUUGAAUCUUGAGGGGGCAUUUGAAUCCCUUCUUGGGCUUUUGAAUGCUCUUCCUAUGCUCUAUCUCCAUUUUUACAAUUUUCAUACCAUCUUUCAUGCUAUUUCAAACUUAGGUUCACUCCCAAAUACACCCUAAGGAUCAGGCGGUCAAGACUCAUCUGGUCAUGUUGAUUCUUUGUGCCUUCGGACUUUAAGAAAAGGGGAUCAUCAAAUAGCAACAAUUCAUAAUUUGUAGAGAAGGUUUGACUAGCUUUUGCUGCAUUUGCUUUCUGUCUGUGUUGUAGACAACUUUGCUCUGUUGGAUCCCUGGACCCAAAGAAGGUGAAAGGGAAGAUUGUAUACUGUCUGGUUGGUCUUAAUGCAAUUGUAGAGAAGAGCUGGGUGGUUGCUCAGGCAGGUGGCGUUGGGAUGAUUCUUGCUAACCAUCUGACCACCACUGCGUUGAUUGCUCAGGCCCACUUUGUUCCCACUUCACACGUCUCUGCAGCUGAUGGUCUUGCCAUUUUGUUAUACAUCCAGACUACGAAGUAAUGUUCUCUCUGUCUCUAAAUGCUUAAUUCCAGGUUCUUUGCUUCCUGAUGCCAUGUUAAAUUCAUUUUCUGAGAUGGCCCAUUUUAGUGUUUGAGGAUUUUUUAUUUUUGUUUUUUCUCAUUCAGGUACCCUGUGGCUUAUAUCAGUGGUGCAACAGAAGUGGGUACGGUACCAGCACCAAUCAUGGCUACUUUUUCGUCUCAGGGCCCUAAUCUAAUCACUCCAGAAAUCCUCAAGGUGGGUUACAUAUUAUAGUCCCAUGUAAAUGAACCUACUUGUUCAGAGGAGAUUUAGUUUUAGUAUUUUUUUUCCACUCCUGCAUUGGAAGACAAAACUCCUGCAAGUAUCAAGAGUUGGUUUUGACAAGAACCCCAACUGUCCAUUGAGUGAAAAAAGUGGCAAGACUAGUUAGGAAGCAUACCACAAUAUCUGAGGCAAGGGGUGUCGGUUGUUAAAACCAUUUUCUUAAUUUUCUUCUAUUAAUUUAAGAUCCAACAAUAUUGAUGAUAAUCUACAGCCUGACAUCACCGCACCCGGAGUGCGAAUUUUAGCUGCUUACACAGAAGCAAAUGGGCCUACAGGUCUUCAAUCAGAUGAUCGUCGUGUUCCCUUCAACAUCGGAUCUGGUACUUCAAUGUCAUGUCCUCGUGUUGCUGGAACUGUAGGCCUUCUAAAAAAGAUUCACCCCCAUUGGAGUCCAUCAGCCAUAAGAUCUGCAAUUGUGACCACCGGUCAGUGCUAUAUGUCAAACUUUCAGUAGAGUUGCUAUUUAUAAAGUUUGUGCUGUUUAAAGGUUAUUAUUUACAUGAACAACUGUUGCUUGACGUUGACUACAAUAUGGAUCCCAGCAAGAACCAGAAAUAAUUUGAGACAACCUAUGGCGAAUGGUACACUUUCAGAGGCAAACCCCUUCAACUAUGGAGCAGGAUAUCUAUCGCCUAACCGUGCAAUGGACCCUGGCUUGGUCUAUGACUUGACCACCACUGACUACUUGAACUUUUUGUGCUCUAUUGGCUAUAAUGCAACCCAACUAUCAAGGUUUGUAGACAAGCCAUGCUAAUGCCCAUCAAAGCCCAUGAGCCUUUUGGAUUUAAACUACCCCUCAAUUACCGUCCCCAGUCUCUCAGGCAAGGUAACAGUGACUCGGA